AGAGGCUGAGCAAGUUCCGCGGCCGCCGGUGCGGGCUCGCAGCCCCAUGCGGUCCAGGACAGCCAAGGGGGAGAAAAGAGGGAGGUCCGCUGCCUAGCUCUUGCGAAUCGUUGUUCCUUCCCCCUGUGCCGGCUCCUAAGACAAGCUAAUACUGACCCCGGUAGUCUUAGCGUUGGUUUUCCAGGAACUAUUGCUGCUCACUGGGAAGCCGAGAGCCAUACGUGAGCGUUCCCCCCUUCGGCGGCUGCACUAUAGUGCGGUCCCCGCUUCGCCAGCCAUAAGGCAAGCGAGAAGGGACGCACUUCUCCCGGCUUGCAAAGCGGUAGGGAGACGAUCGGGCCGCUGGCCGCUGUCUCGGCGUUCAGCAAUAGAGGCCUUCCCGGAUCUCCCGAGAGGCGGGGAGCGAGCCUGGGUCCAGCAGCCUUCUCCCUCCCGAGAACAGCAGAAAGGGGGGACUCGACAGAAUGACCUCUGUUUCCCCAAGGAAGUGCACUCUGACGAUAACCUCGGGAGGGACGAGAAGGGCCGCUCUUUCGGAGAGCGGCCGCCGCCCCUGGAGUAGGGGACUCAGUGGCCACGAAGGCCUUCCCUGCUCGCGACCUUUCCACGGGAAGGCACGAAGCUUCCGAUGGGGGCCCCGGGGCGCUCCUGACUUUUCUACGGCGCGAGGGCUCUGACUCUGCGGUUCAGGUUUGAAAGUCCUUUGGAAGCUCGCAAGUGGUGGUCUCCCACCACCUCCUCGGUCAUCGCAGGAAGAAGGCGCAGUGAGGGCGGGAGUCUGGAUGAGCGGAGAGUAGCCACCGCGGAGAAGAGUGCGGGCUUGCAGGAGCCGACGAAGAUAACUCGAAAUGUGGGCAGGCAGGUGUUGGUGGGUCUUGAAAGUGGGAAAGCACGAGAAAAGAACAAUGUUCGCGUCCGCUUAGAAUACGGAAACAAGUGAGCUUUAAAGGAAAAUACUCAUUCUCAUUACCCCUGUCCAGGAAGAAGAGUGCUGAUCUGCUGCUUCCAGUCCGCUGGGCUGGAGAGCAGAAAGAGGCUACUUGAUCCCAGCCAAGCCAGUGUCUGUCCCCCAGCAAGCACUUCUGCCUUGGUGUGAUCCCCAUUCCUUUUCUAAAAAUACAAAAUAAUAAGAAGUCCUGGAAGGAAAUACACUAAAAUGUUCCCAGUGGUUAAUCAUGCGUACAGUAGUAGAUUAUAUGCAGCUUUCAUUUUCUGCUUUAGACUUUUGUCUAUUUUCCACAACUUUUCUAAAGUUUCUACAAAGGCCAUAUAUUUCCACCAUAAGCAGAAAAAAUGAAAACGUAAGCAUUUAAAUGGCACAUACAAUAUAAUCUCAAUAGUAUAAACAUGCAUACAAAAGACAGGAAGGAGAUAUGAAGAACUGCUAACAGUAUGUUAUUUUUCACAACUAGGAUAUAGUCUCCUGUCCUGCUUUACCUUUCAGGUAUUUUCAUCUGAUAAAUAGAGAAACAGUUUAAAAUAAAUUCAGUCAUCCUGUUCAAUAGCCAAGAGGUUCCAAAAUGAGAUAAUGAAUUUAAAAGCCUUCGGGAACUAUAAAGAAAAGUAAUGCAUUAGUAUUAUUUUGAAGAUAAGUUUACAAUAUUUCUUACUGUAAAUUAUCAAAUCACUUUUGGGUGCAUUGUCAGUCUUUCUGUACAUGGAUUCGUUUCACUGUGGCAAAGGCAACUUGCAGAUAAGCUGAUAAAGAUUCCAGAACUACAAAUCAAACUAGGCCCUGGAGUAGCAGUAAAAUUCCAAACCCAAAGGCCCAUCCAGUCUGUCCACUACAUUCCUAUAUUGAUGAGAGCAGAACAGACACUCAUGAGAGACAUGACUUCUGCUUCCCCCAUAACUAAGAAGAGAGAUUACCAUACUGAUGAUCUCCCUGGAGGUUUCAUAGCAAGGUUUGACUUGAUGAAUUAAUUAAUAAAGCUAAAUAUCCUGAAGAUUUGGUGGAAAUAUGCUUUGACAUUUACAUCUAAGUGUUCAUCCGUGAAAAUCAAUAAAAUAUUUUUUCAUGCAGACCCUAUAGGCAUUUUCUUACUAAAAACUUCAUGUGGUUUAUGUGGCAAUUUCCAAAAAUGCCUAAAUAAACUCUGUUAUAGUUUACUGUGAAUAUUAAUAUAUUACAAAAAGAAAAAAGACCUUCCUCUAGUGACAAACUAAUAUUUGCAUAUUUGUGAGGAUUAUGAAGGUUUUUUCAUAUAUGGCAAUGUUAUUUUCAUUCUCCUAACAAUCCUCUGAGGAAGAUAGAAGUUAUUAUCUGUUUAUGAGGAAAGCGAAGCCCAAAGAUGUUAAGCGAAUAUCACUGUUCAGCAAAUAAGAGGUUAUACAUUCAAACUCAGUUCUUUUGAUUACCAGUUCAGUACUCUUAACAUCCAUUACUGUGCAGUGAUACUGAGAUGAUUAAUUUUUACACUUCUCCACUAAUAUUUCACCAGAUUUCUGUUACAGAAAUCUCAAAAAGAAUGCAUGUAUUCUUAUUCCACAAUUCUGUUUUUAGCCUUUGGGAUAAGCACUUCACCAUGAGUAUUUACCUCACCCAUUGAGAAUACCUGUGGGGCAGAAAACAGGUGCAAGUGUACUUCUUUAAUAAACAGGAAAAACCUCCAUACCUUGGAUUCUAGAUCCCUGGGUCCCCUUACCCCAGGAGGGCACUAAUAGCUUACUCAGUGGUAUUGAGGCUGUCCAGCAGACCAUCCCACUUUGAUUUGGAAGAUCAGUGCCUAUGCAAGAGGAAAAGCAUGCAAUUGGGAAUAGGACAGAGGGUUUCCAGAGAGGAGGAACACCCAGGACAAAGGAGGGGUAACACGAAUUCCUGAGAACUGACCACCAAGUUCAUGACUUUUGGAGCCCAGACCAAAAGUCUUCUAGGGCCCAAGCUUGGGACAGAAGGAGUGGAUGCCACCAUCAGAGGAUGCCUGUUACCUCAAGGUAUGUCCAAGUAUGAGUAGGCCUGGGCACAAAGCCAGGUAAGCAGGACCUGCUUCAGGUGGGCAAGGUUACUGGAUCGCCUCAAGGAGAGGAUUCCCCAAGGCCCUGGUCAACAGGGCUGCUUUAAAAUUGUUGUAAUACCCAAGGACUUACUUUAGGAUACCCUACCCCACAUCAUAUAAAACGUAUUGAAAUGUACCAUGUCCCAG
RNAcentral lists this long non-coding RNA (3143 nucleotides) under Homo sapiens (human). RNAcentral describes it as "non-protein coding lnc-KPNA4-1:3". The record is from RNAcentral. Lineage: Eukaryota; Metazoa; Chordata; Mammalia; Primates; Hominidae.